This 685-nucleotide ribosomal RNA is filed under the name uncultured Microbacterium sp. RNAcentral's name for it is "bacterial SSU rRNA". It matches the Rfam family "Bacterial small subunit ribosomal RNA", at positions 591 to 1274 of the family's 1533-position model. Lineage: Bacteria; Bacillati; Actinomycetota; Actinomycetes; Micrococcales; Microbacteriaceae. The record is from RNAcentral.
GAUGUGAGAGCCCUGGGCUCAACCUAGGAAUCGCAUUUGAAACUGACAAGCUAGAGUACUGUAGAGGGGGGUAGAAUUUCAGGUGUAGCGGUGAAAUGCGUAGAGAUCUGAAGGAAUACCAGUGGCGAAGGCGGCCCCCUGGACAGAUACUGACACUCAGAUGCGAAAGCGUGGGGAGCAAACAGGCUUAGAUACCCUGGUAGUCCACCCCGUAAACGUUGGGAACUAGUUGUGGGGUCCAUUCCACGGAUUCCGUGACGCAGCUAACGCAUUAAGUUCCCCGCCUGGGGAGUACGGCCGCAAGGCUAAAACUCAAAGGAAUUGACGGGGACCCGCACAAGCGGCGGAGCAUGCGGAUUAAUUCGAUGCAACGCGAAGAACCUUACCAAGGCUUGACAUACACGAGAACGCUGCAGAAAUGUAGAACUCUUUGGACACUCGUGAACAGGUGGUGCAUGGUUGUCGUCAGCUCGUGUCGUGAGAUGUUGGGUUAAGUCCCGCAACGAGCGCAACCCUCGUUCUAUGUUGCCAGCACGUAAUGGUGGGAACUCAUGGGAUACUGCCGGGGUCAACUCGGAGGAAGGUGGGGAUGACGUCAAAUCAUCAUGCCCCUUAUGUCUUGGGCUUCACGCAUGCUACAAUGGCCGGUACAAAGGGCUGCAAUACCGAGAGGUGAAGCGAAUCC